AGCGAACGCUGGCGGCAGGCUUAACACAUGCAAGUCGAGCGGGCACUUCGGAGUCAGCGGCAGACGGGUGAGGAACACGUGGGAACGUACCCGUAGGUUCGGAAUAAUGCUGGGAAACGAGGGCUAAUACAGGAUAAGCCAUGUUGGUGAAAGGCUUGCUGUCGAAGGAUAGGCCCGCGUCGGUUUAGCUAGGUGGUGGGGUAAUGGCCUACGAAGGAGACGAUCAGUAGCUGGUCUGAGAGGAUGAUCCGCCACACUGGGACUGUGACACAGCCCAGACUACUACGGGAGGCAGCAGUGGGGAAUAUUGGACAAUGGGCGCAAGCCUGAUCCCGCCAUGCCGCGUGAGUGAUGAAGGCCUUAGGGUUGUAAAGCUCUUUUGUCCGCGACGAUACUGACGGUACCGGAAGAAUAAGCCCCGGCUAACUUCGUG
This 433-nucleotide ribosomal RNA is filed under the name uncultured bacterium. RNAcentral's name for it is "partial 16S ribosomal RNA". It matches the Rfam family "Bacterial small subunit ribosomal RNA", at positions 29 to 507 of the family's 1533-position model. The record is from RNAcentral.